AUGCACAGGUUCUUAGCAGAGAGUCAUGUUUUAGUUCUAGGAUUAUGCUUAUUUCUUUCUUUAGGGUUGCUUUUGUAAUGAAUCAGCACUUACAUACACCUCUACUAGGCAAUCAUGGAGUUGGCACCCCAAAGAAAGCUUCACCACAUGGACUGAAUUCUAUUAGCUGAGCAGAGACAGAGCAAUGUCAGCUCUCAGAGAGAGAGAGAGAGAGAGAGGCAGAGACACAGGCAGAGGGAGAAGCAGGCUCCA
Molecule: long non-coding RNA, 252 nt
Organism: Canis lupus familiaris (dog)
Lineage: Eukaryota; Metazoa; Chordata; Mammalia; Carnivora; Canidae
Exons: 3
Source: RefSeq, a predicted model, not a curated record